This is an RNA transcript of Ahaetulla prasina, 6357 nucleotides long. It is a transcript of the gene named insulin receptor substrate 1, with no coding region annotated. The transcript is spliced from 3 exons. The record is from RefSeq and is a predicted model, not a curated record. NCBI's taxonomy places the organism in Eukaryota, Metazoa, Chordata, Lepidosauria, Squamata, Colubridae.
AAGCGCCUUCGCUGCGGUGCUGAAUGAAAGCCGCGGCAGGCGGGCAGGCGAGGGCGGAUUGGAAUGCCGCACUACUAAGCUAGGCUGCCGGGAGCCCUGCUCGCGUUUAUAUUGCCGCCGCCGCCGAGGCUGGAGAUGGGGAUGGUCCAUGCAUUGGCGCCGUCACGUGUUUUUCUCCUCGGUGUGAGACGGAGUGUCGGCGGCUGGAGGGGGCUGGCCUCAGAAACGCAGACGCAGCCGAUUGUUUUGGUGUCGGGGGCUUUUCAAUAAAAGUCCGCGGAGCUGCGAGUCCUGCGGCAGGAGCACAAGCGCCAAGUCCCGAGUCCAGCGAUCCGGCGGUGCCCGUUCCUGCCUGGCAGCGCUUUUUUUUUGGGGGGGGGGUGCCUCCUCCGUUGUGGAGCGCACGAGGAGGGGAAGGUGCUAGAGGACGAAGGGACUUCGCCGCCGCCGCCGCUGCCGCUAUUGCCUUCCGAGACUUUUCCGACUGGAAUGAAGAAAAGGAGGAGGAGGUGGAAGUCGCCCUCGCCGCCGCGAAAAUGUGCCUCCGCCUCCUUCGCUCCUCGGGCAGCUUCUCCGCUCUGUCUCCUUUGCGCUCGACCCUGCUGCAGCCGCCUGCGUGUAUUUGGUGUGGAAAAGACACUUUUUCUGCCUAACCAGACGGGACUGAAUGAGGUCGCUCGCUCUCUUCUCCUACGCGGGCUGGACGAGGAGUAGCGCCUGCAAUCGUGACGCUGAUUUGGGAUAUUGAUGUGUUUGUUUGCUUGUUGGAGUUCUCCACCCCGCCGCCGUGGUUCCCGCGAAGGAUAUUUUUAUUUGGCAUUUUGGGCGAGGAAGAAAACCCGGUGGCUUAUGUGGUGGUGUUGACUAGCUGGUUUCUUCUUACUGCCGUUAUUAUAUUACCAUUAUCGUUGUUGUUAUUUCAAAGGGAUUGCUGGUGUCCCUCAGACGUCCCACGUUUUCCCCCACUCCCCCUGCAAAACAAGCUCCCUUCUUCUCUGCCCUGCCCCGUGUCUCUCCUGCUGGUGAGUAUAUUUUAAUCGGCUCCUGGAAAUCUCUCGGAAGGAUAACUUGUGAAAAAGGAAAGGGCUAUUUGGGAGAAAAGACGGGGGAACCCCAUCCUGCUCCUGGCGCUGGAGGAAUUUCCACCCCGCAUGGAUGAAACGAUGCCCGCUUUUCUCUGCUCGUCGGCGGCUUUUCGGACCUGUUUCUCCUGGGGCUACAUCGAAACUAGACUUUUGAAAGCUGCGUUUCUCCUGCGGAGGGUGAUUUGGGAAUAAAAACUGCCACCCAAGCCCCUGUUCCUGGAGCUGGGAGGAGGCUCUGGCCACUGAACAGCUGUUCUCUCCCUGCCACUCUUUCCUCCGCCCCUCUGUUUUUGGAAAGGAUUUCCAGAACUAUCUUUCUGCGUCGUUUUUAUUUUUAUUUUGGAGUGAAGGAGGGGAUUUGCUGCUGCUGCUGCUGCGUGGAUUUCUGUUUUGUUGUUUCUUUCCAAAGCUGCUCUUUGCAGCAGAAACUGCUGUACCUUGUCUUUUUUUUUUCCAAGCAUGGCUAGCCCCACAGAUAAUAAUGAGGGCUUCUUCUCUGAUGUCAGGAAGGUGGGUUACUUGCGCAAACCCAAGAGCAUGCAUAAGCGCUUCUUCGUGCUGAGAGCAGCCAGUGAGUUGGGACCCGCCCGGCUGGAGUACUAUGAGAACGAAAAGAAAUGGAGACACAAAUCAGGGGCCCCCAAGCGCUCCAUUCCUCUGGAGAGCUGCUUCAACAUAAACAAGAGGGCAGAUUCCAAAAAUAAGCAUCUGGUGGCUCUCUACACCAAGGACGAGCACUUUGCCAUUGCUGCUGACAAUGAGCUUGAGCAAGAAAGCUGGUACCAGGCACUGCUGCAGUUGCACAACCGUGCCAAGAGCCAUCACCACCACCAUCAUCAGCACCAUCACCAUCACCACCACCGAGAUGUCACAGUGGGAGGUGGGACUUUGGGAAUGGGAGAGGCAGGGGAGGAUAGCUAUGGCGAUACGGCUCCUGGCCCAGCGUUCAAGGAGGUCUGGCAAGUGAUCCUGAAACCAAAGGGCCUGGGGCAAACCAAGAACCUGAUUGGAAUCUACCGCCUGUGCCUAACCAACAAGACAAUCAGUUUUGUUAAACUAAAUUCCGAUGCGGCAGCUGUUGUGUUACAGCUGCUCAACAUCCGGCGGUGUGGCCAUUCUGAGAAUUUUUUUUUCAUUGAGGUGGGGCGCUCUGCUGUCACGGGACCAGGUGAGUUCUGGAUGCAGGUAGAUGACUCGGUAGUAGCACAGAAUAUGCAUGAGACCAUCUUGGAGGCUAUGCGGGCAAUGAGUGAGGAAUUUCGGCCUCGGAGCAAAAGCCAGUCGUCUUCCAAUUGCUCCAAUCCUAUAUCUGUGCCUCUCCGUAGCAGGCAUCAUGUCAACAACCCGCCCCCCAGCCAGGUGGGACUUACUCGUAGGUCCAGGACUGAGAGCAUAACUGCCACUUCUCCUGCUAGCAGUGGUGUGGGAGGAGGGAUUGGAGGUAGACCCAGCUCUUUCCGUGUCAGAGCCUCUAGCGAUGGAGAAGGUACCAUGUCCAGACCAGCUUCAGUGGAUGGAAGUCCGAUGAGUCCGAGUGCCAACCGAACCCACUCACAUAGGCAUCGUGGCAGUUCCAGGCUUCAUCCCCCUCUCAACCACAGUCGCUCCAUCCCAAUGCCUUCCUCACGUUGUUCCCCUUCAGCCACUAGUCCAGUCAGCCUGUCAUCCAGCAGUACCAGUGGCCAUGGGUCCACUUCAGACUGUCUUUUCCCACGUCGAUCUAGUGCAUCAGUCUCUGGCUCUCCCAGUGAUGGAGGGUUCAUCUCCUCUGACGAAUAUGAGUCAAGCCCCUGUGACUUUCGCAGCUCAUUUCGUAGUGUUACCCCUGAUUCCCUGGGACACACCCCUCCUGCCCGGGGAGAUGAGGAGCUUAGCAACUAUAUAUGUAUGGGAGGGAAGGCUGCCUCAUCCUGCUGCAGUAUCACAACUCCUAAUGGUCAUUUUGCCCCCCGCACCUGCCAUCUGCAGCAGCAAAGUCGCUACCCUGCUGUCCCAUGUUGCCUCCGUCUUGGAAAUGAGGAUGUAGGUGAUUUUGAAAAAGGCUUCAGAAAGCGGACACAUUCUGCUGGAACCUCUCCUACCAUCUCACAUCAGAAGACUCCUUCCCAGUCUUCAGUGACCUCCAUUGAAGAGUAUACUGAGAUGCUUCCCUCAUAUUCUUGUAGUGGCAACAAGUUUUCUUCUUAUCGACAUUCUGCCUUUGUGCCAACCCAGUCUUAUCCCGAGGAGUGUCUAGAGAUGCACCAGGUGGAGGGAAACCACCACCGGACCAACUCUGAUGAUGGCUACAUGCCGAUGUUGCCAGGAGUGGCACCUAUGCCCAGUGGAGGUAGUACACCCAAAGGUGGAGAUUACAUGCCCAUGAGCCCCAAGAGUGUGUCUGCUCCGCAACAGAUCAUCAAUCCUGGGAGAGGAGGUCGCCACGUGCAGGCCAUGGUGGACUCAAAUGGCUACAUGAUGAUGUCUCCCAGUGGCAGUUGUUCUCCAGACAGUGGUCCCACUGGCUACAGCAAAUUAUGGAUAAAUGGGACUAAUAAUCAUACAAAACUCUCAGUCGAGAGUAAUGAGGGCAAGCUGCCAAGUGGAGGCAGUGAUUAUAUCAAUAUGUCUCCAGCUAGUGGUUCUGCUACCAGCACCCCUCCAGACUGUUACUUUACCAGCCCAGGACCUCCAGGCCCAGAAGAACCACUAGUGCAUGGUUCUGCCCAGUCCCAACAAAAACCCAUCUAUUCCUAUUUCUCCUUGCCCCGUUCCUUCAAGCACAACCAACGCAAGACAGGCAAAGAAGAAAAUGCCCAGAUGCAUAUGUCCUUCAGCUCUGGCCGCUUGCUUUAUGCCGCUGCUGAGGAUUCUUCUUCCUCUACUAGUAGUGAUAGUCUUGGCUGCCCUGGGGGACAAGAGGGUGGUGGGUAUUCUCUUCCCAUUAAAACACAGCCAUUGCAGCCUGCUGCUUUUACUGUGGACACAGCUGUGCGGACCAAGAAUCAUCUGGCCAGACCUACUCGUUUAUCCUUGGAUGGCCCAAAGGCCAGCACCUUGCCUCGCACUCGGGAACAGCUCCCAGAGCCCAAGAGCCCCGGAGAGUAUGUGAACAUUGAGUUUAAGCAACCAGUCUUCCCCUCACCUUUAUCCUACGGAGAGACUGGCUCCUGUUCAGAGGAGUAUAUGAAUAUGGAUUGGGGAACUGCUUGCCCAGCCAGCUUGGCCUCCAUGCAGUCAAGCCGGAAUGGGACCACCCACAGUGGCAACCGGGACUAUAUGAGCAUGCAGCUGAGUGGUGGAGCACCGUAUGUAGUAUGUGCCCACACCCCAUCACCUUCUUCCCCUGCCCUCCUGCUGAGUUAUUCUGAGAAAAGCCCACCACCCAUGCAGCUGCCUUCUCCACCUUCUCAGGCUCAGCCAAGCAAACUGGCUGAGAUUUUACCCCAUUCCUGCUCCUCAUCUAUGAUUGGGGGCCCAGGUGUGAACAGCGCCUUUACACAUGUCAGUCUUGGUCCCAAUUGCAGCACCCAGAGUGCCAAAGUGAUCCGUGCUGACCCCCAAGGAGGUCGGCGGCGCCAUAGUUCUGAGACGUUCGCUUCUUCUGUCACUCCUAGUAGUAGUCUUGGAGCCUCAGCUCUACUCCAUGGACCAGGAGGAGGUCCUGAUGAUCCAAAACAUCACAGUUCAGCCUCCUUUGAAAACGUCUGGCUCAAGCCUGCAUCUGGGGCACUGGGAGUUGCUUCUUUGGGUCUUGGUGCAACAUCACGGAGGGAGCAAGCAGCUAGUGGAACUGGGGGAGGCUUUGAGAAUGGGCUCAAUUACAUUGACCUGGACUUAGUGAAGGAUUUUAACCACAGCCAACAUCACCAUCGCAACCUCCACCCUCAGGAGAGUACUGGUCUGCUAGGAGUCAAGCAACCACCCCAGCAGCAUCAGCCACCUAAAUCUCCAAAGCAGCCUUGUGGGAGUAACCACUUGAGUGAUGAAUUAAGUGCAUAUGCCAGCAUUAGCUUCCACAAGCAGGAGGACAUCCAGUAGAAAUCGGAGACAAGAUUCCAUUUUAGCAUGAGAUUUUAACUACUUAGCAACAUGAUAAUUCAGUGAUAGUGCUGUAUAACAGAAUGAUGACCUAUACAACCUCAGAAAAAAAACCUUCUUCUUUGAACUCAUGGGUAUCCACAUUUGGUUUUGUGUAUCACAACUAGGACCUCAGUCUUCUUCCCCAGUAGAUGGGUACGAUGCAUCCAGUUCAAUUUGUUUACUUUACACAAACCUCAGGAGUUAAUUAACUGAACUGCACAUUCUCUUUCUUUUUUUAAAAAAAAUUUUUUUUGUUUGUGUGUGCCAUGCAAAAGCACUGUGACACCUGGACAAUGAGUCUAUGAUUGCUUCCUCCUUUAUCAUAGAGAUUUAACUGGCAACAGUAAAUUUAUGUGCCCGCCACUAUAAUAUAGUGAGAGUGGCUAUACUACUAGCUCAUCUAUGUAAAACAUAAAAUUUUAAUUUGCUGCUGAAAAACCUGUAUGACAAAUCAUAAGUGUAAAUUAUUACAUACAAACUGUUAAUGUUGGUUGACGAGUAUUAAAUAUUUAACAUAGGUUUUUGAUUUAUACAUGUACUUUUUUAAUUAAAAUGUAACUUUUCCUACAGCACAUCCUUUUUGAUGUGGAACUGAGGUAUACUAUAUUCUGUUAUAAACAGAGUGGGAUGGGUGGGGGAAACUGCUUAAAAAAAGGCAUUUUAAGAAUAGCUUAGGGUACUAUUCUUUUUAAGAUUGUAAUUCAGAAUAUAUUAUAUGGAUCAAUGGCCCAUGAACCUGGAUGUAUAGUCAUAUUUACUGAUAUCAUCAAUAACUACAAUUCAGCUGAAUUCUUUAAAAAUAUAAUAUUUUUUAUUCUUCCUGUGAAACAUUAUGAAAAGGCAAACUUAUUUGUGCAUGGUAUUUGCAAGUGUGAAUUUGAAAUUGUUGGUUGCACAGGAACGUAGACAAUAUCAGAAAAAUAAAGCUAAGUCUUCCAUUGUAUGUAUGUAUGUGUGUGUGUGCGCACCAGUGUGCCCCUAUAUGUGUGUGUGUGUUUAUAAAAUUAUAUGUGUGUGUAUAGGUAUGUGUGUAUAUAUACAUACACACACAUAUAUAAAUACUUAGAGAGUUAUAUAGGUACAAAGAAAAACAUCUGAAAUAUUGGCAAAUACUUCAAAUGAAAUUAUUCCUGGAAUGAAAUAUGUGGGCCUUUGUAAAUUCUGGAAAUCUCUUUCUAUACAUAAUAAACUAGGAACUGUUUUAUCUUUA